Molecule: ribosomal RNA, 66 nt
Filed under: Clostridioides difficile
Lineage: Bacteria; Bacillati; Bacillota; Clostridia; Peptostreptococcales; Peptostreptococcaceae
Description: partial 16S ribosomal RNA
Rfam family: Bacterial small subunit ribosomal RNA (bases 1-57)
Source: RNAcentral
GGGGUGAAGUCGUAACAAGGUAGCCGUAUCGGAAGGGGCGGCUGGAUCACCUCCUUUCUAAGGAGA